RNAcentral lists this ribosomal RNA (587 nucleotides) under uncultured bacterium. RNAcentral describes it as "bacterial SSU rRNA". It matches the Rfam family "Bacterial small subunit ribosomal RNA", at positions 338 to 916 of the family's 1533-position model. The record is from RNAcentral.
CCUACGGGAGGCAGCAGUGGGGAAUUUUGGACAAUGGGCGCAAGCCUGAUCCAGCAAUGCCGCGUGAGUGAAGAAGGCCUUCGGGUUGUAAAGCUCUUUUGUCAGGGAAGAAACGGUGAGGGCUAAUAUCUCUUGCUAAUGACGGUACCUGAAGAAUAAGCACCGGCUAACUACGUGCCAGCAGCCGCGGUAAUACGUAGGGUGCAAGCGUUAAUCGGAAUUACUGGGCGUAAAGCGUGCGCAGGCGGUUUUGUAAGUCUGUCGUGAAAUCCCCGGGCUCAACCUGGGAAUUGCGAUGGAGACUGCAAGGCUAGAAUCUGGCAGAGGGGGGUAGAAUUCCACGUGUAGCAGUGAAAUGCGUAGAGAUGUGGAGGAACACCGAUGGCGAAGGCAGCCCCCUGGGUCAAGAUUGACGCUCAUGCACGAAAGCGUGGGGAGCAAACAGGAUUAGAUACCCUGGUAGUCCACGCCCUAAACGAUGUCUACUAGUUGUCGGGUUUUAAUUAACUUGGUAACGCAGCUAACGCGUGAAGUAGACCGCCUGGGGAGUACGGUCGCAAGAUUAAAACUCAAAAUGAAAUUGACGG